UCCUGGCUCAGAUUGAACGCUGGCGGCAUGCUUUACACAUGCAAGUCGAACGGUAACAGGGAGCUUGCUCCGCUGACGAGUGGCGAACGGGUGAGUAAUAUAUCGGAACGUACCCAAGAGUGGGGGAUAACGUAGCGAAAGUUACGCUAAUACCGCAUACGAUCUAAGGAUGAAAGCAGGGGAUCUUCGGACCUUGUGCUCCUGGAGCGGCCGAUAUCUGAUUAGCUAGUUGGUGAGGUAAAGGCUCACCAAGGCGACGAUCAGUAGCUGGUCUGAGAGGACGACCAGCCACACUGGAACUGAGACACGGUCCAGACUCCUACGGGAGGCAGCAGUGGGGAAUUUUGGACAAUGGGCGCAAGCCUGAUCCAGCAAUGCCGCGUGAGUGAAGAAGGCCUUCGGGUUGUAAAGCUCUUUUGUCAGGGAAGAAACGGUAGAGGCUAAUAUCCUUCGCUAAUGACGGUACCUGAAGAAUAAGCACCGGCUAACUACGUG
This 495-nucleotide ribosomal RNA is filed under the name uncultured Massilia sp. RNAcentral describes it as "bacterial SSU rRNA". It matches the Rfam family "Bacterial small subunit ribosomal RNA", at positions 17 to 507 of the family's 1533-position model. Lineage: Bacteria; Pseudomonadati; Pseudomonadota; Betaproteobacteria; Burkholderiales; Oxalobacteraceae. The record is from RNAcentral.